CAGUAGCCGCGGUAAUACGUAGGGUGCAAGCGUUAAUCGGAAUUACUGGGCGUAAAGCGUGCGCAGGCGGUUUGUUAAGACAGAUGUGAAAUCCCCGGGCUCAACCUGGGAACUGCAUUUGUGACUGGUAAGCUAGAGUGUGGCAGAGGGGGGUGGAAUUCCGCGUGUAGCAGUGAAAUUCGUAGAUAUUGGGAAGAACACCGGUGGCGAAGGCGGCAACCUGGCUCAUUACUGACGCUCAUGCACGAAAGCGUGGGGAGCAAACAGGAUUAGAUACCCGAGUAGUCCCUGUCUCUUAUAA
This 301-nucleotide ribosomal RNA is filed under the name uncultured bacterium. RNAcentral describes it as "partial 16S ribosomal RNA". It matches the Rfam family "Bacterial small subunit ribosomal RNA", at positions 509 to 809 of the family's 1533-position model. The record is from RNAcentral.